RNAcentral lists this ribosomal RNA (229 nucleotides) under uncultured bacterium. Its description in RNAcentral is "partial 16S ribosomal RNA". It matches the Rfam family "Bacterial small subunit ribosomal RNA", at positions 568 to 796 of the family's 1533-position model. The record is from RNAcentral.
UCCGUAGGUGGAUAAUUAAGUCAGAGGUGAAAGUCUGCAGCUCAACUGUAGAAUUGCCUUUGAUACUGGUUAUCUUGAAUUAUUAUGAAGUAGUUAGAAUAUGUAGUGUAGCGGUGAAAUGCAUAGAUAUUACAUAGAAUACCAAUUGCGAAGGCAGAUUACUAAUAAUAUAUUGACACUGAUGGACGAAAGCGUGGGGAGCGAACAGGAUUAGAUACCCUGGUAGUCC